This 440-nucleotide ribosomal RNA is filed under the name uncultured bacterium. RNAcentral describes it as "partial 16S ribosomal RNA". It matches the Rfam family "Bacterial small subunit ribosomal RNA", at positions 338 to 795 of the family's 1533-position model. The record is from RNAcentral.
CCUACGGGUGGCUGCAGUGGGGAAUAUUGCACAAUGGGGGAAACCCUGAUGCAGCGACGCCGCGUGAGGGAGGAAGGAUCUCGGUAUGUAAAGCUCUAUCAGCAGGGAAGAAAAGGACGGUACCUGACUAAGAAGCCCCGGCUAACUACGUGCCAGCAGCCGCGGUAAUACGUAGGGGGCAAGGGUUAUCCGGAUUUACUGGGUGUAAAGGGAGCGUAGACGGUCAAUCAAGUCAGAAGUGAAAACCCAGGGCUCAACCUUGGGAAUGCUUUUGAAACUGAGUAUCUAGAGUGCAGGAGAGGUAAGCGGAAUUCCUAGUGUAGCGGUGAAAUGCUUAGAUAUUAGGAGGAACACCGGUGGCGAAGGCGGCUUACUGGGCUGUAACUGACGUUGAGGCUCGAAAGCGUGGGGAGCAAACAGGAUUAGAUACCCCAGUAGUC